GACACGACCGUACCGCAAACCGACACUGGUGCGCGAGAUGAGUAUUCUAAGGCGCUUGAGAGAACUCAGGAGAAGGAACUCGGCAAAUUGACACCGUAACUUCGGAAGAAGGUGUGCCUUUAGUAGGUGAACCUGUACAAGGGGAGCCCAAUGAGGUUGCAAAAAAUCGGUGGCUGCGACUGUUUAAUAAAAACACAGCACUCUGCAAACACGAAAGUGGACGUAUAGGGUGUGACGCCUGCCCGGUGCUGGAAGAUUAAAUGAUGGGGUGCAAGCUCUUGAUUGAAGUCCCAGUAAACGGCGGCCGUAACAAUAACGGUCCUAAGGUAGCGAAAUUCCUUGUCGGGUAAGUUCCGACCUGCACGAAUGGCGUAACGAUGGCCACACUGUCUCCUCCUGAGACUCAGCGAAGUUGAAAUGUUUGUGAUGAUGCAAUCUCCCCGCGGAAAGACGGAAAGACCCCAUGAACCUUUACUGUAGCUUUGUAUUGGACUUUGAACAGAUCUGUGUAGGAUAGGUGGGAGGCUUUGAAGUGUGGUCGCUAGAUCGCAUGGAGCCAACGUUGAAAUACCACCCUGGUGUGUUUGAGGUUCUAACCUAGGCCCGUAAUCCGGGUCGGGGACAGUGCAUGGUAGGCAGUUUGACUGGGGCGGUCUCCUCCCAAAGCGUAACGGAGGAGUUCGAAGGUACGCUAGGUACGGUCGGACAUCGUGCUAAUAGUGCAAUGGCAUAAGCGUGCUUAACUGCGAGACUGACAAGUCGAGCAGAUGCGAAAGCAGGACAUAGUGAUCCGGUGGUUCUGUAUGGAAGGGCCAUCGCUCAACGGAUAAAAGGUACUCUGGGGAUAACAGGCUGAUACCGCCCAAGAGUUCAUAUCGACGGCGGUGUUUGGCACCUCGAUGUCGGCUCAUCUCAUCCUGGGGCUGUAGCCGGUCCCAAGGGUAUGGCUGUUCGCCAUUUAAAGAGGUACGUGAGCUGGGUUUAAAACGUCGUGAGACAGUUUGGUCCCUAUCUUCCGUGGGCGCUGCAGAUUUGAGGAAGCCUGCUCCUAGUACGAGAGGACCGGAGUGGACACACCUCUGGUGUAUCGGUUGUCACGCCAGUGGCAUUGCCGAGUAGCUAUGUGUGGAAGAGAUAACCGCUGAAAGCAUCUAAGCGGGAAACUCGUUUCAAGAUGAGAUCUGCCGGGGCAUUGAGCCCCCUAAAGAGUCGUUCAAGACCAGGACGUUGAUAGGUCGGGUGUGGAAGCGCAGUAAUGCGUUAAGCUAACCGAUACUAAUUGCUCGUGCGGCUUGACC
RNAcentral lists this ribosomal RNA (1298 nucleotides) under metagenome. RNAcentral describes it as "bacterial LSU rRNA". It matches the Rfam family "Bacterial large subunit ribosomal RNA", at positions 1635 to 2925 of the family's 2925-position model. The record is from RNAcentral.